GAAAUGCGAUAAGUAAUGUGAAUUGCAGAAUUCAGUGAAUCAUCGAAUCUUUGAACGCACAUUGCACCCCCUGGUAUUCCGGGGGGCAUGCCUGUUCGAGCGUCAUUUCACCACUCAAGCCUCGCUUGGUAUUGGGCGACGCGGUCCGCCGCGCGCCUCAAAUCGACCGGCUGGGUCUUUCGUCCCCUCAGCGUUGUGGAAACUAUUCGCUAAAGGGUGCCGCGGGAGGCCACGCCGUAAAACAACCCCAUUUCUAAGGUUGACCUCGGAUCAGGUAGGGAUACCCGCUGAACUUAAGC
This 299-nucleotide unclassified non-coding RNA is filed under the name plant metagenome. RNAcentral describes it as "partial contains 5.8S ribosomal RNA, internal transcribed spacer 2, and large subunit ribosomal RNA". The stretch from base 1 to 105 matches the Rfam family "5.8S ribosomal RNA", at positions 50 to 154 of the family's 154-position model. The record is from RNAcentral.